Molecule: ribosomal RNA, 468 nt
Filed under: uncultured bacterium
Lineage: Bacteria
Description: partial 16S ribosomal RNA
Rfam family: Bacterial small subunit ribosomal RNA
Source: RNAcentral
GACGAACGCUGGCGGCGUGCUUAACACAUGCAAGUCGAACGGAAAGGCCCUGCUUUUGUGGGGUGCUCGAGUGGCGAACGGGUGAGUAACACGUGAGUAACCUGCCCUUGACUUUGGGAUAACUUCAGGAAACUGGGGCUAAUAUCGGAUAGGAGCUCCUGCUGCAUGUUGGGGGUUGGAAAGUUUCGGCGGUUGGGGAUUGACUCGCGGCUUACCAGCUUGUUGGUGGGGUAGUGGCUUACCAAGGCUUUGACGGGUAGCCGGCCUGAGAGGGUGACCGGCCACAUUGGGACUGAGAUACGGCCCAGACUCCUACGGGAGGCAGCAGUGGGGAAUAUUGCACAAUGGGCGGAAGCCUGAUGCAGCAACGCCGCGUGCGGGAUGACGGCCUUCGGGUUGUAAACCGCUUUCGCCUGUGACGAAGCGUGAGUGACGGUAAUGGGUAAAGAAGCACCGGCUAACUACGUG